Molecule: ribosomal RNA, 395 nt
Filed under: uncultured bacterium
Lineage: Bacteria
Description: partial 16S ribosomal RNA
Rfam family: Bacterial small subunit ribosomal RNA
Source: RNAcentral
AUACGUAGGGUGCAAGCGUUAAUCGGAAUUACUGGGCGUAAAGCGUGCGCAGGCGGUUUUGUAAGACAGAGGUGAAAUACCCGGGCUCAACCUGGGAACUGCCUUUGUGACUGCAAGGGUAGAGUACGGCAGAGGGGGAUGGAAUUCCGCGUGUAGCCGUGGAAUGCGUAGAUAUGCGGAGGAACACCGAUGGCGAAGGCAAUCCCCUGGGCCUGUACUGACGCUCAUGCACGAAAGCGUGGGGAGCAAACAGGAUUAGAUACCCUGGUAGUCCACGCCCUAAACGAUGUCAACUGGUUGUUGGGUCUUCAUUGACUCAGUAACGAAGCUAACGCGUGAAGUUGACCGCCUGGGGAGUACGGCCGCAAGGUUGAAACUCAAAUGAAUUGACGGGG